This 835-nucleotide long non-coding RNA is filed under the name Triticum aestivum (bread wheat). Its description in RNAcentral is "long non-coding RNA (TAES_LNC010846)". Lineage: Eukaryota; Viridiplantae; Streptophyta; Magnoliopsida; Poales; Poaceae. The record is from RNAcentral.
GUGGAGUUGGUACGUGCCUCCGUGAUGCCCGUGACCACCAUAUUUUGUAAGGACUAGUUUUCUUUAGAUAGUAAACAUAAAUGUUCUGCAAUUGCAGACGCUGCUCCGCACGGACAUGGGACUCACAAAGGCCCUGGGACCAGCCGAUAUCGGGAGUAGCCCAUGUGGGAGAAUUGAGCAUCGCGAGAGCGAACCUGGAUACACAUUUCAGUGGUUCAUCAGGUUAGUGCAAGCCUGGAUGGUCGACAGUAUUUGUAGCAAAGAUGAUGUUGGAAAUGUUGAAGGUGCACAUAAUUUUCCAAAAAAUGAAUAAUUCGGCAUGGCGGGGAGGGUGGCAGUCCUCCGGUUAAGAUUCGGUGGUAUAGCCUUUGAUUAGUCGGCGCAUUUCAUCAGCAAUAUCAAUGUGAUGCUGAUAAGCACCUAAAAUUCCUGAUUAGGAUUAUGAUGAUUCUUUAUAGUUCUCUCAGCAAAAGAGUACAUUUCCCAUACUGUUGCUUCUGGGUUGAUCUGCUAGAAUAGUGGUAGCAAGCCAUCGCUUGAAUUCAUCAAAGGACUCAGUAACUUCUACGGCAUGCUUAGCAGAGAUAUGUGAUGUUGGUGCUGGGGGGUCUCCGGUGUGUUCUGAUGUAUGGCUACGUGUGGGUACGUCCUCAGCAGCCGUCUCCCCCAGUAAGGAAUAAGGACAGUAAGAUUGACCAGUCAUAGAAAGCAUGAAAAAUCUUGAAAAUGUAACUGUGACUCGUAGGACUGGUCAAAUAAAGAUUCCUGUGAAAUGUUUGGAAAAAUACUGAUGUCAACAACUUCCUUUGUGCACAGUUAUGCAGUAAUGCUGGAU